GUGCUCACUUUGGCAGCACAUAUAUAAAAUUGGAAAGAUACAAAGAAGAUUAGUGUGGCCCCUGCCCAGGGAUGAUAAUACACGAAUUUAUGAAGCCUUCCAUAUUUUU
This is a small nuclear RNA of Cynocephalus volans (Philippine flying lemur), 109 nucleotides long. The record is from RefSeq and is a predicted model, not a curated record. NCBI's taxonomy places the organism in Eukaryota, Metazoa, Chordata, Mammalia, Dermoptera, Cynocephalidae.